AAAGUCGUAACAAGGUUUCCGUAGGUGAACCUGCGGAAGGAUCAUUAACAAAUCUUUCAACACAAACCCUGUGUAAACGUUUGCGUUCCCUUGUGUGGGUGCGUGGGGUGGCGUGAUGGCGCUAGGUAAACUAGCACGUCGCAAUGUCGCGCGCCUCCAAGGGAUCGUCUUUAUUAUACUAUUAUUGAUUGACAGCCUAGAUACAAAGUUAAACUUAAACAACUUUUAACAAUGGAUCUCUUGGCUCUU
Molecule: unclassified non-coding RNA, 249 nt
Filed under: Chytridiomycota sp.
Lineage: Eukaryota; Fungi; Chytridiomycota
Description: partial contains small subunit ribosomal RNA, internal transcribed spacer 1, and 5.8S ribosomal RNA
Rfam family: Eukaryotic small subunit ribosomal RNA (bases 1-47)
Source: RNAcentral